AACGAACGCUGGCGGCAUGCCUAACACAUGCAAGUCGAACGAGACCUUCGGGUCUAGUGGCGCACGGGUGCGUAACGCGUGGGAACCUGCCCUUAGGUUCGGAAUAACUCCCCGAAAGGGGUGCUAAUACCGGAUAAUGUCUUCGGACCAAAGAUUUAUCGCCUUUGGAUGGGCCCGCGUUGGAUUAGCUAGUUGGUAGGGUAAAAGCCUACCAAGGCGACGAUCCAUAGCUGGUCUGAGAGGAUGAUCAGCACACUGGGACUGAGACACGGCCCAGACUCCUACGGGAGGCAGCAGUGGGGAAUAUUGGACGAUGGGCGAAAGCCUGAUCCAGCAAUGCCGCGUGAGUGAUGAAGGCCUUAGGGUUGUAAAGCUCUUUUACCCGGGAUGAUAAUGACAGUACCGGGAGAAUAAGCUCCGGCUAACUCCGUG
Molecule: ribosomal RNA, 432 nt
Filed under: uncultured bacterium
Lineage: Bacteria
Description: partial 16S ribosomal RNA
Rfam family: Bacterial small subunit ribosomal RNA
Source: RNAcentral